This is an RNase P RNA of 369 nucleotides. It matches the Rfam family "Bacterial RNase P class A". Rfam says of the family: Ribonuclease P (RNase P) is a ubiquitous endoribonuclease, found in archaea, bacteria and eukarya as well as chloroplasts and mitochondria. Its best characterised activity is the generation of mature 5'-ends of tRNAs by cleaving the 5'-leader elements of precursor-tRNAs.
GGAGUACGCCGGAUGACCGCGCCCCUGAGGCCCCACCGGCUUUUUGGGGUGAGGAAAGUCCGGGCUUCACAUGGGCAGGGUGCAGGAUAACGUCCUGUCGGGGCGACUCGAAGGAAAGUGCCACAGAAACAUACCGCGCGACGCCUCGCGGCGUCGCGCAAGGGUGAAAUCGUGAGGUAAGAGCUCACGGAGCUCUGCGGUGACGCAGGCUCGGGUAAACCCCACCUGAAGCAAGACCGCUCGAUCUGUGGACGGCCCGUCCGCAACGAGCUACGUCGCAACGAGGCGUUCGGUAACGUGCGCCCCAGAGAGAUGGUCAUCACCCACGUUUCGUGGGGACAGAAUCCGGCUUACAGGCGUGCUCCGCAC